Molecule: long non-coding RNA, 3157 nt
Filed under: Helianthus annuus (common sunflower)
Lineage: Eukaryota; Viridiplantae; Streptophyta; Magnoliopsida; Asterales; Asteraceae
Description: hypothetical non coding rna
Source: RNAcentral
UUAUUGAAGAUGAAUGUUGAUUGAAAGGCAGCAUGGUCAAAAACAAACAUAGCUCAUCAAACCACAGCAUGGCUCCAACCCAAACAGAAAACAAAAACAAAAACAAGUUGUGGCCUCUUUCAUCGGGUACCAAAUAUUUUGAUAACAUGGUCCGUUGGUUCUGAGCUUGUAGCAACCAGUUUAACAUUAGCAAAUAAUAACAUAAAAAAGAAAGAAAAAAUGUAUAACUUAGAUGUGACAAAUUGGGCAUUCGGGUCAAGUUGGAUUGACCUGCAAGCAUUUUAAUCCAUUAUCCGUCCCGCCCCACAACGCCCAUCUUCCCUGCUGUAAGCAUAACUACACCUUUUGGAUCCACUUGAAAAUAGGAAGAACGGACCAAAAGUUGUUGUAAAUGCGGGCCCCGAGGCCUUGAGGGAAAACAUGAGGGAUUCCUUUUAGGCCUCCCUUGCUGACACCCUACAUUAACGUGGUUGACAAAUUAGAAAAAGAAUGAAUAUUAACCAAAAAAAGGGAGUUUGUCCUCCAAUGAAAGUCCACUUCUAGUGGAAACCAUAAAACAAUAUAUAUACAACACAUAUAAGAAUGAAAUGAAAUAAGUGAAGGUGGCAAUUUCGACCCGUUUACUUAGAAUAGGUUUCUUUGAGUCAAGUCUAAUCUUUAAUGGGUCAAACAACCAAACUCAUAAAAAUGGCCAAAGCAGGACCAUGUCAAUCAGGUAGACAUUGACCCAUGUGUUUUUUUUUUGGGCAAUUUCAUAUACACUUUUUAACUCUCAUAAUAUCACUUUUAACCUUUAACUUUUAACCUGUUUGAAACAAAAUGAAUAAACAUCCUCUAAGGAGGGACGAUUAACACAAAACCAUGACGAUAAAUAAUGUAAUUACUAACAAUAAAAAAUAAACACAUCAGUAAAGAUAAAAUGUAAGCCCAAUACUAUACCGCAGUAUAACAUCUUUUUUCAUGUUCAGAAGGCUUUCCGAAAUGAACGGUCCAGAGUUAUAUCCGUUGUCCCAUCCAGUGGCGGAUCCAGAGGUAUUUUGGGUGUUCCCGGGAACCUCCUCGGUUUGGAACAAAAUGAAAAAAAAUAGUGGAAAUUUUAUAUGAUUUAGAAAAAAAUAGUGAGAAUUAGUGAAAAUCUAGCAAAAGGAACCCGGUGAAAAAAAUCCUGGAUCCGCCACUGGUCCCAUCGAAAUACUUUUAAAAAUGUAGUGAAUAAUUUUAGUAAGUAAAUAUAAUGUAAGCCAAAAAACUGCAUAGAAAAUGUAAGAAGAACCUGAGCUCCAGAAUCACAAAGAUACAUGCGAUUUGGAUGGAGUUCCGCACAUGUUUUAGCUUCUGGUUCGUAAUGAAUAAUUGUACCGUUUGGACCAACUGAUGAAAUAGUUGGAAAGCUCAAUCAUCUGAAAUGCUAAGAAAUACAAUACAAAAUCUGAUUAAGUAAUAUAACAAUAUAACUUAAUACAAUUGAGAUAAAUGAACAAACAGAGAAAGAAAAUUGUUGUUAAAGAUCAAAAUUAAUCAAACCUUAAAUAAAAAAGAACAACAAUCAAUUUUAAAAAGCCCUCACAACCCACAAAGACAUUCAAGUAAUGUGAUUCACAAAACUGACAAUCACAUCCAGGAACUAUGAAUGAGUCGGCAUCGUGUACUGAAAGGUUAAAACGAGUGCAAGCAAAUCCAAAAACAAACCUCUCCAUCCGAACCAUAGGACAACGGUUUUUCACCCUUUCUUGAAUCUAACCCAAAACGAGUGCAAUUACAGGUACCAUUUAACCGAUUUCUACUCUCGUUCAUCGAUUUCUAGUGUUUCUAUGUUGGGGGAAGGAAUUGAGACAAUAUCGGAGACGAUAGAACAUAACCAAAACAGCGCAGAAUUGAGAAAAUCACAGAUUAAUUGGAGCCGAUGAGCAGGGUUUAUAAAUUGCUAGGGUUUGUAACUGAUGUUUCUCAAUUGAUGAGGCAUCGGUUGAAGGGUGACGAAGUAUGGCUCGUUAGCCACUACCUCAUUUAGAAUACGGAGAAAUAGAGAACGACUCAUCCGAAAUCUUCGUCGAAAUAGAUUCGAGGGAUAUACCGGAUUUUCUGCAAAAUAAUCACGAUAUAAACGCUCAUGUCCCUGAAUAUGAUCGCGUCGAAUAAAUUUUCGACGUUUGCGAGUACAUUGUUCUUCGACAUCCUCAUAAAGAUCAUUAUCGCUAUCAUCAUCCGAAGAUAGGUAUCUCAACAACUUGCGAAAGAAUGUACGAACCAUUUGAUCAAACGGGCAAUUAACUCAACCUGUCAUCAUACAUGUUAUAAGUAAAAAAUUGUUAUAAACGCCAAAAAAGUGUCGGUUUUUCAGCAAAAAAAAAGACAAAAACCUGCAGGUUUUUUUCAGCAAAAAACGCUAAAAAAGUACUGAACUGGUUUGCAUCAGUUUUCAGCAAAAAACCUUAAAAAAAUACUGAACUGGUUUGCAUCAGUUUUCAGCAAAAAACCUUAAAAAACUGCAGCGUUUUUCGGUUUUUUUUUGGACUGGUUACCAGUUAUUAAACCAAACUGAACUGGUUUGCAUCAGUUUUUCUGCAAAAAACCUUAAAAAAACUGCAUAUUUUAUAUUCAAACUCAUAUUUUAUAUUCAAACUAAUUAGCUGUACUCUUGGUAGGUGCUAAUCUUCAUUCACUUUUAAGAUUCUUUUACUUAUACAAGAAUAUAAUUUUCUACAAAAACAUUACUUCGAUACUAAUUUUCUAAUUAUGCUACCUAAUAAAAGAAAGAGGUGAAUAAGCAUGAACUACAAUAGUCAUUGACAUGCUGAAUGUGAAAGGGCCAACUAUGUUAAUCCGUAAAGCCAAAAUCCCUAGCCAACUUGACUGCAAGCUUACCUAUUAAAAGAAAGAGGUGAAUAAGCAUUCACUACAUCAGUUAAUAUGAGGGAUGGAGAUGUGAAGGAUGAAUCGGUUGAUGAUAGAAAAAUCCUUUUCAAAUCGGAACCCUAGUUUCCAAUAGAAGCCUAUGUUUACAAAUCGAAACCAUCCACGUUUACAAUCUGAAACUGCGAAGUAGGAAUUUGUUGAUUUUGUUGCUGGUGAUUUUGUUGCUGUUGAUUUUGGGGCUGGCGGGAGAAGACAGGAAGAAGGUGUUUGUUGGAAAUGGAGAGGUACAGUAGCUUUUUAU